RNAcentral lists this unclassified non-coding RNA (391 nucleotides) under soil metagenome. RNAcentral describes it as "partial contains 5.8S ribosomal RNA, internal transcribed spacer 2, and large subunit ribosomal RNA". The stretch from base 1 to 122 matches the Rfam family "5.8S ribosomal RNA", at positions 35 to 154 of the family's 154-position model. The record is from RNAcentral.
GAUGAAGAACGUAGCGAAAUGCGAUACUUGGUGUGAAUUGCAGAAUCCCGUGAACCAUCGAGUCUUUGAACGCAAGUUGCGCCCGAAGCCAUUAGGCCGAGGGCACGCCUGCCUGGGCGUCACACGUCGUUGCCCCCCCAUCUACUCCUUCGGGAUUGCGGGGGGCGGAUGAUGGCCUCCCGUGCGCCUCGUCGCGCGGUUGGCCUAAAUGCCAAGUCCUCGGCGACGCACGCCACGACAAUCGGUGGUUGCGAAACCUCGGUUGCCCGUCGUGUGCGGUCGUCGCGCAUCGAGGGCUCGAAAAAAUUGCCGGGCUUCGGCUCGACUUUCAACGCGACCCCAGGUCAGGCGGGGUUACCCGCUGAAUUUAAGCAUAUCAAUAAGCGGAGGU